AUGUUUCCACAAUACUGGGCUUGCCCUUUGAAGCCAUACCAGGAAGCAUGCAAGAGAAGCAUCUUUAGGAGUGCGUAUGUUCAGUUACCACCUUGUGUGAAGAUGUGGCCGAGAAGGCUGUUGAGGUGGCUGAGGAAAGAGAAGGGGACUGACAGGUGUGACCCUUGCAGUGCCAUGCAAAAGAUCCCUUCUGCUGUCUCCCACCCUUUGCAGCACUUUGGGACCAGCUUGUUUGGCCUUCUGGUUCAGAAGUUGUGUCGGCUACGUCUGUGCUCCAGACAAAACAGCACCAGGAACUGCUUUCUGCCACGAGGCCAUUUAGCACAGGUUGGAUAAUAAGUAUUUCUCUAAGCCAUGUGAAGGCUUCAGUCCAGGGAUUUUUCUCAGUGUAACGUACACUGCCAAAUUUAGGCUUCUCCUGCCAUCCAACAGCUUUCUCCCCCAGGUCCAUGUUAGUCUGAAGUACGUGCUCAAGAAGCAAGAUAACCAGUCCAAUUAUCUCCUCAUCUACAGGAAGCAUGCACAUUUCAAAUUAUCACACCAUGCCCUUUUAGGAGAAAGGGUAAGGAAUGGUUCUUGCCAUCCACUUCUUUCCUUUUGAAGCAGGGCAUUUUGCAGAAAAAGAGCCAGAGAAGGCAGACAGGACCCUUGUGCUGGGAGCUGGAGGUGCAUUUGGUCUCUGCUGUCUUUGUAUUUCAUGCUUGCAUGAAAAAAAAAAAAAAAAAAAAAGGUACUAGGAACAGAGACCAGGAGCCAGGAGUCUUCUCUCCAGGGCAGGUGUCCUUGCUGCCGGAUACCGCGAUUGUAGGAGUCACCUACAGAGCUCAGCCUCUGCUCCAUCUGGUCCAGGGACUAUCAGACAUGGAGAGCGGCUAAGGAGCCCUUUCAACGAAUGAGCAAGUCGUAUGUGGUGAACCCAGUAAAUCUGCAUGUGGCUCAGUGAAAAACCAGGCUCAGUCUGAGUGCUGAUCCCAAGCCACAGCCUGAAGACACUGUAGGACACACAGAUGGAAUCUGACACGUGCCUAUGCUCAGGCAGAAGGCUUAAGUGGAUGUAUGAGCAGCAAGAAUCACAACCAAAAAACACUAUGAGGAUUGACUGAAGUGGCAGUUGACAUACAUUUUCAUGCCUCAGCAAGUAUGGAACAAAAAGCAACAAUAGAAUCUGGGUAUACAGGGCAGGCACAAGGAGAUUGGCGAGGGGAGGGUGUACAUGGAGUAAAAGGCCAGCAGAGCUCUGAGGCAAUGGGCCAGGCACGGAGGUCUCCAGGGAAGCUUGUGCUGCACAAAGAGCUGGGCUGGCCUGGCUCUGAUCUUGCUGGUCCACAGCAGGCAC
This 1336-nucleotide long non-coding RNA is filed under the name Anser cygnoides (Swan goose). RNAcentral's name for it is "lncRNA (ENSACDG00005005402.1)". The record is from RNAcentral. Lineage: Eukaryota; Metazoa; Chordata; Aves; Anseriformes; Anatidae.